This 2326-nucleotide long non-coding RNA is filed under the name Gossypium barbadense (sea-island cotton). RNAcentral's name for it is "long non-coding RNA (GBAR_LNC008518)". Lineage: Eukaryota; Viridiplantae; Streptophyta; Magnoliopsida; Malvales; Malvaceae. The record is from RNAcentral.
UUUAUACAAUUUUUAAUGAUUUUCCCAAUUCAGAAUAGGGAAUUCCAAAAUCAAUCUGACAUUGUCUCACAAAAAUUCAAAUUCAUACCAAAUUAGUCAAAUCCUAUUUUAUACCAUAGCCAAAUCUAAAUUUAUUUAUUUCAUCCUUACAUUUACAAUUUCAAAAUGACAUACACAUAAGACAUCCUAGGUACAUGCCAUUACCAAUAAUUAACACACUUUACCUUAAUGAAUUCGGGAUCGGACUGGGAUGCUGAUUCAACGUUCUAUCUUUACUAAACCUGCGCACGGAAACAAACCGUACGCUGAGUAUGGUAUACUCAGUGGUAUUUCUUAAAUCCGAACACUUGAUAAUAUAACAAUUAAACUUAAAAUCACAAUGAUAAAUAUAACCAUUCAUUUAUUUAUUUUAUAGAUAAGUUUCAUUUACUUACCAUAAAAAUUCUAUACAAGCCAUAUAACAAACACAACAACAUAUUUGCUCAAUUCUUUUCAUUUGCUUACUGUAUAAAUUCUUUCAAUACAUUCACAAUUCACUUGUAUUCACACUUUACUUCUUAACAAUAUAUCAUUUUAAUUCAUUCUAACAUCAAUCAUCAUCCAUUUGAACUUCACUCAUUUCAUGAACCUUUUGGUUCAUGUUUUCAAUCUCAUAUCUCAAUUUCAAUUCUCAAUUCAAUUUCUCAUUUCAUUCCAAUAGUUCAAUCAAUCAAAUUCACUCGAUUUAUCUUUUCACUUAUUUACCCUUAUUAACAAACCCGGACUUUGACGGAUACACGGAUUCCAACCCAAACACACCAGUACGGCACAUUGUGCCUAAAACGGUACACAGUACCUGAUCAGUAUACGACACAUAAAGUGCCUAAAACGACACACGAGGUGCCUGAAAUACGACACAUAAAGUGCCUAAUCGGUAAAGCCGGCAAAUCCCGUACACUUUCAGAUCCUAUGGCAUGCCAAUUAUAUCCUACUUAGCCCGACUAGUUAAUAGGGUAUUUCAUCCACUUUCUCAAUUUAAUAAUUCUUUCAUCAAUAUCUCAUUCAGAUAAUUACAUAUAUUUACCCAUUUUCACAAUUCAUACAAUUUCAUUCAAUUCAACAAUAUAUUUCAAUUAUUCACAUUAAUUCAUAAUUCAAUACAAUUCAAUUCAUUUUUCAAUAUCAAAUAUUCAAAUAUCACAAUCUCAUAUAUUCAUACCAAUUUCCUCAUAUUUCCAAUCAAUAUAUUUUUCAAUAUAACAUUCAUUCAAUAUUCAAAUUUCUACAUAAAUCAUAUAUAUUAUAUAAUUCAAUCAAUAUAAAUUCAAUCAAAAUAAUUUCAAUCAAUAUAAAUUCAAUAAAACAGAUAUUCAUAAAUCAAUUCAAUAUAAAUUUAUCACACACUAAAUCAAUUCAUUUCAAUUAUAAAGACACAAUACAAAUAAUUCCCAUCUUAAUUAUUUAUCAUAAUAUUUAUCCAAAAUUCAAUUAUCAUAAUUGCAUAAUAUCUCAUUCACACACACACACACACACACACAUAUAUAUAUACAUAUAUAUAUUUAUAAUAUAUAAUUCAAUUUAAUUCAAUCAAUAUAAAUUCAUCACAUACCAAAUUAAUCCAUUUCCAUUAUAAACACAAUAAUUCUCACUUCAACAUUUAUUAAAUGCAUUGAAUAAAAAAAAUAUAACAAUUAAUAACUAGGUUCGGAUUAUAGAAAUACAAACCGUAUUUUCUCGAGCUAACUCCCUUUGUCUUUGCCAUUUUUUCCUUGCUUAGCCGAGGUUUCCCGAGACAACAUUAGCUACGGGAAUUAAAACAAUUCAUAUUCGUUAAUUCACUACUAAUUUAUAUCUAAUUAAUACAAUUUUUAUUCAAUUUCUACUUUAAUUUCAAUUUAAUCUUAACUAGAUUUACUUACUUUUUCUAUCUCAAUUCAUACUUCAUUUCUAUUCAAAUUUUGUCUAAACUCAUACUUAACUAUUAAAUUUCCAGCAUCUUUUCAUAAUUUCGAAUUUAUUUCCAUUUAAUCCCUAAAACUCAAAACUUAUAGCUUAGUUUACGAUUCAAUCCUUUAUUCAAUUCCAAUCAAAAUUUCUAUCAAAUAAACCCCCAAUUCCAUCAUUUUAUUCAACAUGAACCAUACUUAGAAAUCUAAUGACUUUCAAAAUUUCUACUUAAAACAAGUAGUAUUUAUCUCUAAGAUUCCAAAAACUCAAAAAUCAUAAGAAAAGGGGCUAAAUUAACUUACCAAAUUAACUUGGAACCUUUAAAACCUUAUUUUUCCCUUUUUCUUUUCUUCCUUUCUCCCUUCUCUGUUUCGUCCCCUGCUAUUCUGUUUCUUUCCUC